This 344-nucleotide ribosomal RNA is filed under the name uncultured bacterium. Its description in RNAcentral is "bacterial SSU rRNA". It matches the Rfam family "Bacterial small subunit ribosomal RNA", at positions 8 to 334 of the family's 1533-position model. The record is from RNAcentral.
AGGGUUUGAUUCUGGCUCAGGACGAACGCUGGCGGCGUGCUUAACACAUGCAAGUCGAACGGAGCACCCUUGAUUGAGGUUUCGGCCAAAUGAUAGGAAUGCUUAGUGGCGGACUGGUGAGUAACGCGUGAGGAACCUGCCUUUCAGAGGGGGACAACAGUUGGAAACGACUGCUAAUACCGCAUGACGCAUUUUGAUCGCAUGGUCGAAAUGCCAAAGAUUUAUCGCUGAAAGAUGGCCUCGCGUCUGAUUAGCUAGUUGGUGAGGUAACGGCCCACCAAGGCGACGAUCAGUAGCCGGACUGAGAGGUUGACCGGCCACAUUGGGACUGAGAUACGGCCCAG